Molecule: ribosomal RNA, 726 nt
Filed under: Ochrosphaera sp. RCC2970
Lineage: Eukaryota; Haptophyta; Coccolithales; Hymenomonadaceae
Also listed under: 3 other names
Description: SSU rRNA
Rfam family: Eukaryotic small subunit ribosomal RNA
Source: RNAcentral
CGCUCGUAGUCGGAUUUCGGGGCGGGCCUGCCGGUCUGCCGAUCGGUACGCACUGGCGGGCGCGUCCUUCCUUCCGGAGACCGCGCCUCCUCUUAACUGAGCGGGCGUGGGAGACGGAUCGUUUACUUUGAAAAAAUCAGAGUGUUUCAAGCAGGCAGCUCGCUCUUGCAUGGAUUAGCAUGGGAUAAUGAAAUAGGACUCUGGUGCUAUUUUGUUGGUUUCGAACACCGGAGUAAUGGUCAACAGGGACAGUCAGGGGCACUCGUAUUCCGCCGAGAGAGGUGAAAUUCUCAGACCAGCGGAAGACGAACCACUGCGAAAGCAUUUGCCAGGGAUGUUUUCACUGAUCAAGAACGAAAGUUAGGGGAUCGAAGACGAUCAGAUACCGUCGUAGUCUUAACCAUAAACCAUGCCGACUAGGGAUUGGAGGCUGUUCCUUUAGUGACUCCUUCAGCACCUUUCGGGAAACUAAAGUCUUUGGGUUCCGGGGGGAGUAUGGUCGCAAGGCUGAAACUUAAAGGAAUUGACGGAAGGGCACCACCAGGAGUGGAGCCUGCGGCUUAAUUUGACUCAACACGGGGAAACUUACCAGGUCCAGACAUUGUGAGGAUUGACAGAUUGAGAGCUCUUUCUUGAUUCGAUGGGUGGUGGUGCAUGGCCGUUCUUAGUUGGUGGAGUGAUUUGUCUGGUUAAUUCCGUUAACGAACGAGACCGCAGCCUGCUAAA